AUAUAAAAUUUUGUUUGGUGUAGAUUUUGAGUGCAGAUCAGUUCUUCUUUGAGAGGCUUAUUGUUGAUCUACUUUUAUGCAAGGUACCAAUUGACUGGGUUGUGUAAAUUUGUGCUUAAAGAUUGUGUUAGGCUUUGUGGAGGGUGCGAUAAUCGGGCAUGGUAUCUCUUAGUCCUUAUUGUCGAUAACUGGUGGUUUAACCCUCGUGAGCUUUACCUUGCACCAUCACUCCGAAAGCUGGCUCUAUACAUGAGUCAAGGGUAGUUGAUAUUGAGGCUUCGGGGAAGAAAAGUUGUGAGUUUGUUGCAAAAUCUUAAGCUUUUGAACCAGCUUCUCGAGAGUAACAUUUUGCUCUCCUUAUUUCUGUUGGUGUUGCUAUCCUUCUCUCUUGGAGGAGUUGACAACGGACAUCAUUGGUGAAUUUGGUUCCUUCAAGCUUUGUCCUUAACUCUAGGUUUUCAUGUUUUAGGCCUUAAACCCUAUGUUUGUGAGCUUGUAUUUUUUGUCUCAACCUCUAGUUAUUUUAAAUUUAUUCAAAGCAUAUGAAUUUUCAUAAAAAUUUGAAUUGAUUUUUCAAUAAAAUUGAAUUGAACUCUAAUUAUUUCAAACUAGGCUUUGUAAUAGUGCAAAAUAUUUCUUUAAUCCUUUUUACAAAUUAACUCUAAAUAAG
RNAcentral lists this unclassified non-coding RNA (670 nucleotides) under Hevea brasiliensis (rubber tree). The record is from RNAcentral. Lineage: Eukaryota; Viridiplantae; Streptophyta; Magnoliopsida; Malpighiales; Euphorbiaceae.